AGGCCUAAUCACAUCGGGGACUCGAGGCCUCCCUUCCAGGCUUGGCAGGCAGAGUAUCUCAAGAUGAAGAGAAAGACAUUUUCCCUUGCAUGCUGGCCGCUGUUUCAUCUUCUACUACUCUUAGGAAACGCUGUAACUUCUAAUGCUAACACUACAGCCGCCACCCUUGGACAAACCACAUCACCCAGGGGAACUAACACAACAGCUAUAACCUCCAGUGGGAACAUCACGACCACCUCCCUCGGACCAACCACACCAUCCAGGGGAACUAACACAACAGCUAUAACCUCCAGUGGGAACAUCACAACCACCUCCCUCGGGCCAACCACACCGUCCAGGGGAACUAACACAACAACUAUAACCUCCAGUGGGAACAUCACGACCACCUCCCUCGGACCAACCACACCGUCCAGGGAAACUAACACAACGGCUAUAACCUCCAGUGUCACCAGCACAAGUACUGCCCCUCCAAGGAAAGAGGAGAACCUUAGCGGACAACUGACACCAUGGGAAGUUGUUCUGGUCACUCUGGCCUCGGUUGCAAUGGCUGUGAUUCUCGUCACCGGGCUUCUCUUCCAUUUCGUGAGUGCCUGAUUAUAGGGAACCCUUUUUCUAAAGGAAAGAGAGGAGGGAGGUAAAGAAGGAGCUGGAGUAGAGAGAGCAGGGUCACUGUGGGAGUAACAGGGAUGAGAAAUCAGAAAAAGACACAGAGAAAGCAGGUCAGAGCCAGCAAGCCAGAAGGUCAAAAAGCCAAAACAUAUUCAGAGAAAACUGAUGAGGGGACGUUCCGGGGGGAGGUCGGGGGGAGGCGAAGGAAGUGAUGAGGACGGAAGAGCUGGCAAGAAGGGGACUCCUGGGACUGGAGAGCCACUGGAAGAGGGGGCAAAACUCCGAAAACUAUUCAGCCUUUUGUUUUCUAGAGAAACUCUCCAGGCCUCAGAAACCUCUUCGAUGUUGAUCUCUUACCAACUGCAUGGCCAAGCCCCUACGGGACCAGGGCAACUGCAACUGACUUCAGAGGAGACCCUUCUCCCGUAGUCAUGGAGCUGACUGGGAGGCGGGAACAGCACUGAGCUCCCUGAAGGCAGACGCAUCACCAAUGUGUGGGGGUAGGGG
Molecule: long non-coding RNA, 1116 nt
Filed under: Sus scrofa (pig)
Lineage: Eukaryota; Metazoa; Chordata; Mammalia; Artiodactyla; Suidae
Description: lncRNA (ENSSSCG00015045427.1)
Source: RNAcentral